AACAAGGAACGGGCACAACACGGCCGAGACAAUCUCCACGAACCCUGGCCAUGGUGAGGUUGAAGGAUUGCUGUUGUGGUCACCAGACACAUGAGUUGGCUGUGAUGAACAAGGGCAGAUCAAUCUAGUGGCUGAGGAGGGGAGCUAAAACUGUCGUGGACACAGGAACUACAACGCACACGCAACUACUUUGGCUAGAGGUUGAGGGUAGGGGAGGAGAACUUCACUAAAUUCAGCCCCAAGGCACUGAAUAUAGGGGCAGGUGUCCCUGCACAUGGCAACCAUGCUGUGGGGAGUGUUUCCCAGUGCGCCAGCACAACAGGGGCUUACAAACGUGGCUCUCAAGUAUCAAUUUCACACUGGUUCAUCUGCACAGUUGAGACACCGAACCUGGUCCAAUAGCACAGGUACAACACAAUUAUCUAAUUAUGUCCAGUUCUGAAGACAGUAACAAACAGAUAGGGAUUUCCCUUGUGGAUAGGCUCAAUGGUGAAAACUGAUAUUUUUCUGUAGAGGGGGUGACUGAAUCUCGAGCUCCAUAUUGUCCACCCCAAGUCUAUCCCAGUUUGUGCACAUAAGUGGAGGACAGCAGGGAGAGAAGAUAUUUGUUGCACUCACAACCGAUCCAUACUGCAGUCACUGCACCUGGUCUGGUUCACAGCACCAGUCAGAGACACUGAAUUUGGUCCCUUCCCCAAAGCCAAAAUAUCCAUUUUGUCUUCUACUGCAAACAAAAGAAACGCAGCUGGGAACAUCACUUGUGGCUAAGCACAAAGUGGUCCAAUACUUGAUAUUUCUGCUGGGAUAAGGUUACUAGAUCCUGUUUUAUUUUUCUUUGUCCAGGGCAAUAGAUAAUUGUGCACCUGUGAGCAGGCACAAAUUAAUCCAAAACUAGAUACUUUCAGUUGGGAGUGAGGCUUCUAGAUAUCAGGCAUCCAUUCCAUACACAUCUCAACUUAUAAACACAAACAAGGGCGAGCAGCAGGGGAUGAUCUUGUUCAGUUUCCAAACCAAACUCUAAACGUGACUGAAACAGCCCUACUGCACCAUCUGCACCUCCCUAUUGAAGCCUUGUUAUUGCACAAAUCACCAUGGCAACAAACCCACCCCUUUCAACCAAAAGAAUUCUCCAACUACAGCUCUAUUAGUUUGUUGCAGCAGUCCAAGACCAAAAAUGAAAGGAUCAAAAGUUACAGUGCCCCAAAGUACAGCCAAUGUCACUGAAAAUUCAGUUUCAGAAAUCUGAAACAGCAUCACACCGAGUCUGACAGAGGGUUUUGUCACUCCUUUUUCUCCAAAUUAUACACAGUAACAAGUCAACCCUUUGCAUAAAAAUUGUUCCCCUUUAUAUGGACUUUUACUUUACUACAGAACUCUUAACCAAAAUCUCCAUAGAUUAAUUAUCAUAGAGCUCCAAACUGGGCAACUUGCUACCAUUCAGGGUUCAGAACUGAAUUAAAAUUCAGUUAUUAACCAACCUGACAAUCCAAUCUUUGAGCAACUAUUUCUGCACUUUUUGUAUGGGAUCAGGUUCACCACUCUAUAAGAAAGUUGUUCCACUUAUAUGGUCUUCACUUAUUCUACAAACACCACAGCACAAAACCUUAUAGAAUAGCCACAAAAGGGCUCCAAACUUGGCACCAUACAGAAAUUUUCAGAUUUCAGAACUGAACCAAAUGCAGUUAACGUACUAUCUGUCAGUCCAACCUUGAGCAAGCUUUCUCUCCAAUUUUUGUGUAGGAUCAAACCAAAGUUACUUAAGGAGACUUAUUCACCAUCAUAUGGUCUUUAAUUUCUCUAUAUAUUCUACAGCCCAACACCCUAUGUAUUAGGCACAAAUGAGUUUCAAAAUCAGCCAAAACACUGCAAUUUCAGACUUAGUGUACUGUUCUGAAUCUGAAAAUGCAAAGAUCUGUUAACCCCUCUUUGGACUACCUUUUCUGCUAGUAGCAUAUAGUUUUAGGGCUAUCACACUUAAUAAGGAUUGUUCUCCAACAGUUACUCUAAAAGUUUUAUACAGUGAGCCAUAGCCAAAUACUCCUGGAUUCCAAACUACAAAGGUCCAAAGUUUGACCAAAUUACUGAAAUUCAGAAUCUGAAUUUCACUGAGUCUGAAAUCUACAAAAUCUGACAGCUUUACUUUAGACCGGUUUUAUCCCAAGUUCCAAAUCGUUUUAGAGCUAGAUGACUUAACCAAACUUAUACUCCUCAUGUAUCUCUAUAACUUUGUUAUAAUGAUCAUCUUAAAACUGUUUAUAGAUCAAAUGUUAUGAAGGCCUAAAAAUAGCUAGUUGAUAUUAUUUUCAGCAAACUUCAAAUCUGAUUCAAAACUGAAUUAAACUUUUUAGUCCAACUUUUCCUCUAAAACUUGGAAUUCUCCAUACAUGAAAGUUGUUCAACUUCCCAAAAUCUACAACUUUGAUAUAUGGACCACUAGCAAAUUCUCUCUAGAUUUAAAACUCCACUUUUGGGCUAGUUGAGGGUUUCAAAUGUGACUUCUCAUCUAGUGAUUUAUCAACUCAAUCCAUACUCCUAAAAGACGAGUGACUCCUUAAUCUCAAAUCCAACUCUAGUAUAUGAAGCUCAUGUUCAAAGUGUCCCUAGUUUAGGAGUUGUUUUGUUUAUCCACAGUUCCAAGCAAGGUUUUCAAAUCUCACUUAAGGUUUUUAAGGUUAAUCCAGUUUCGCAAUUAAUUCUUCCACCUUUGAAAGCAAAGUUGUUCUAGGUCCUAAGUCUUACCUUUAAUACAUUAAAUUCCAAGCCAACUUAUUACUUGCUCAAGAGACGACUUCACUUCCGAUCUCUUAAGCAAAGUUCUUAAUCUGAGCCCUAUACUCUUAUACACAACACCACAUUCAUUGAAUUUUUUUUGACCUAGUGAAUGCAUUCUAGGUGCAUCAAGCAGUUAAUGCAAGUGCAGAUGAUGACAUGACAAGGUUUUAAUUAUCGUAACACCAGGGGUGUUACAGCCUUCCCCCCUAAAAAGAAAUCUCGUCCCAAGAUUUAAAACUCUAGGCUAGAUAAUGGAAAAGGAAAUGUGUCACUGGCUUAUUUCCCCAUUACUCCUACAAAGCAGGGGUGUGCCCCUAUUGGUUCAAACCAAAGACAAACUACACAAAACCUAGGACUUACAAGAACCUAGGAACUCAAGCACAUGUUCUUCCAAAUACUCCUUCGAUUCCCAUGUGGCUUCAUCUUUCGUGUGUAUUGGUUCCACUUUAUCUCGUAAAACUCGAUAACUCAUCUUUGAGUGUCCUGAUCCUUUUGAUCUAACACCUUUAUGGGAUAUUGCGAGGAGGUUAAACCUGGUUUAUGGCUAACAUCUGAAAUCUCAAUAACAUAUUUGGGGACUCGAAGACAUUUCUUUAACGGAGACACGUGGAACAUGUUGGGCACUAUUGGAAGAUCUUCUGACAAUUGUUCCUUAUAAGCCACAGGUUCACCAAAACCUUUGUUUCGAAGCUUGGUAGUCUUCAUGAACAGGAAAUGGUAGCAUAGAAAGGCAAAGACAGAUAGCAGGAAUAGGGUGGACGAAACAUGUACUAAUACUGCUACAUAGGGGGCUUAAUUUAAAAUUGUAUGUCAUGAUGCAUGCUCGACCGAUUCGUCCUCACAAUUCUUGCCAACAUAUAGUGGCGUUCAUGCUCUAUGGCGGUGGCAUACCUACACUCCGUCAUUGAAUACUAGUCGCACUUUUCUAGGGUUUAGUUAGUGUACCUGCAGAAAAUUGCAUUAUAGUUGUGGGUUAGUGGUUAGCAUCCUAAACUAAGCCACCUUAUAGUCCUUAACUUAACCAUAUACUAUUUGCACUUCGACUAUCAGGAUUUGCUCAUAUUCUUAAAUUUUUCCAAAAUAGUUUGGACUCAAAAUCCUUUUGAAAUAUAUCAAAGGAUUACUUUAAUAUCCAUGAUAAUGGGGGAUCGCUCCGAUACCAAUCUGUGGCAGCCCUCCCAAGUUAUCGGGCCCACUUGCACCAAUUCUUGCCUUGAUGGCCUCAGAUGGCUAUGCACGUGUACCAGGUAACUUAACAAGGCUAUCACGAGUUCAACAACUUGAACUCACCAUCCCAAGGAUCUCCCACCAUACAUGCAUAUUACAGUAAUCACAUUCGAUACACACACUUCGGAGAUAAAGAGCGGAAGACUUUACAAACAUUCUUUACCUUUUCAAAACUCAAGUUUUACAUGUUUUGAAAGAAUAAUAUUUAUUACAAGUACUGAUAUACUCAAAGUGCAUAACUUAUUACAAAAGCAGGAAGGUAGAAACCCUCCAAAGCUUACACAUAAACCUAGCUAGUCCUCCUCCAGAACUAGAAACGCUCUCCAGCCUCAGGAACAUCUAGAGUACUCCUCAUCACCUACAACAACAUGGGUUCGAAAACCCUGAGUACGGAGUGUACUUUCGCAAGUCUUACCCGACUAAGGAAAAAUGACUCUCAAGGAUAUGCUGGUUAAGUAGGAAUCAAGGAAAAGGCUUUAGCAAGAAUCAACUUAGAUACUUUUGCAGAAAUAGCUUACUAAAGUGAGUCCUUACUUUCAAUAUUUUAAUGCCAUAUUAAAUAUUAAUAGACUCUGGUAGCAUCUAGUCUAAUUUCACCAUCUCAUCAAACAACAUCAUUUUUAUUCAUAAUGUUUACAUCCUGACUUAGGUUGCAAGGCAGCGAUCAAGUCUCCACUCUCCGGGGAUAUAAUGGCGAUCCGAAUCGAUUUACUCAGCUGAGGAUCUCUAACCACACGACAUAUGUAGCGCUUAACCCUUGCAUAUGUCUACCGUUCCCACGGAUCCUCCACUGCAUGAACAGGUCCGCGCCACCCGAGAGAGCACCACCCCUUUUAGGCGGUCCUUUGCCAGGAGGGUACGUGCCACUCUCGCCAUCUCUCCACUCCCAGUGCGCGAUUGUCUUUUCAUGUAUGGAAUAGCCAGGUUCAAGCUUACCCUGUCCCAUAUCCAGGGCAUGUGGCCAGUUAAGAUAGUCCUUGAUCAUACAGGCCUACAUACGCAUCCAAUCCUUAAUUAACCUAGGUAGAACAUCACUUGUUCCUAGCCCAAGUCUCGAUUUAAGUACUUCCAUCCUUAGGAUUGUUUGUGUUCCUUAGGAUGAAAAGAGCAUUAUAGGGAACUUUGCAGUAAGAUCCCACCAUGCUCCCAAUGAAAAUAUUCUUGCAGGUAGAAGCCGUCUUUCCUCAGGAUAACCCCUGAGCUAGGCCUCAAUGCAAAAGACAACCUCUAUCCACAAGAUCUGAGCAGGGCUAAGCAUUUUUGUAUAUCAUAUUUUGAUACUUCACCAGAAGUAUCUAUAAAGGUAUGGAUAUCAAGGUAGGCAAUGCAUCCAAUAAUUUCCAAGCAACUCCUAUAAACUUAAUGCUCAUUUCACUAGACUUAAAUGUAUAAAAGUCUUUUUAAAAAUACAAGGAAGGGGUAAAUGCACCGGGGCUUGCCUUUGUUGCAGAGACGGAGGUCUAAAUCCCUCUAUUAAACCCCAGUUAGAUGGCUCCCAUCACUUGAUGAGCAGGCACUGAAGCAGACUCCUCUUCAGAAACGACUUCUUGAAUUUUAUCAUCUUCUUCUGGGAAUUUCUACAUGUAAAGAUAUGAACAUAAAUGCUUAUGCUGAUGCAACUUGAAAAGAAAAUACUAAAAAGCAUCACAAGACUUACACCUCGCUAAAGGUGCACACAAAAACUAACAAAACCUUAAGAGAGCUAAAUACUCUAAUAUCACAACUCAAUUCACCAACCAAACUAGAAAACCUUGCCUCCAUAACCAACCAAGUACUUCAUUUAUGCCUUAAGCAAGGAUCCAACCUGCAUGAACUACAAGUUAUAGUGUCCAAGAAUCAGCCACAAUUCAUUGAACCUGCUUUCAGUUCUCUGAAAGCAUCUUCCAUUGCUCCAUUCCUCUCCCCUCUGUUCAAUGCCUUUUAUCUCAUAAACUCACAUGACAAGAGACCCCACUUACUUAACCAAAUCUAUUCCCUAAGUAUUGCUCUUCCACUUUGGUAUAACACUCCAAGACUGAAAAUACACAUUGCAAAUUCAGUUUUUAGGCAGCUGAAUGAAAUUCAGUCUCUGCAACUGAAAGUCCAUUUUUGGGCAGUAUUUACACCACUUUGUGUGUGGGAUCAAUCCCAACUCACCUAAAGGAUGUUGUUCUCUAACACAUGUUCUUCAAACUUGCUGUAGAAACUUUGGUUCAAAACCACCUAGAACAGGCACUACACAGCUCCAAAACUGCACUAAAAUUACUGAUUUCAGACUUUCAGUUCUGAAUAGACUAAGUCACCAACCACCUGACAGUCAAACUUUUGGCCACUUUUACUCCCAAAUUUAUGUGGAACCAGGUCCAUCUCACUUUAGCAAACUUGUUCACUUUACUAUGGUCUACAACUUUGCUAUGGAACCCUUAAUCCAAAACCCCAUGAAUCAGUCACAAUGAAUUUCAAACUAGGCAUCCUGCUGCAAUUCAGUUCUCAGAACUGAAUAAAAAUUCAGUUGUGUCCAUCCUGACAGACCAAAUUUAACCAACCUUUUCUCCAAUUUUUACACAGCAACAGACCAAACUCACAUUACCAAAGUUAUUCCUUAGAUAUAGCUCUAAUACUUUGGUGUAGUACCCCUAGGUUGAAAACAUUCACAACAAUUUUUAUGAAGCACCAAAGUGGAGCUCAACACACUAAAACCUAGUUUCAGCCUUAUGCACUAAGUCUGGGAUCCAGAAACCUGACAGCCUAUGUUUGAGCAAAUUUCACACCUAGUUCCAGGCAACCAAUAGUGGUAGAGUUCAAGCAGUAAAUGGUGUGAUCUUCACUGACCUGUGAGGAACAAGGAACGGGCACAACACGGCCGAGACAAUCUCCACGAACCCUGGCCAUGGUGAGGUUGAAGGAUUGCUGUUGUGGUCACCAGACACAUGAGUUGGCUGUGAUGAACAAGGGCAGAUCGAUCUAGUGGCUGAGGAGGGGAGCUAAAACUGUCGUGGACACAGGAACUACAACGCACACGCAACUACUUUGGCUAGAGGUUGAGGGUAGGGGAGGAGAACUUCACUAAAUUCAGCCCCAAGGCACUGAAUAUAGGGGCAGGUGUCCCUGCACAUGGCAACCAUGCUGUGGGGAGUGUUUCCCAGUGCGCCAGCACAACAGGGGCUUACAAACGUGGCUCUCAAGUAUCAAUUUCACACUGGUUCAUCUGCAC
Molecule: long non-coding RNA, 7192 nt
Filed under: Zea mays
Lineage: Eukaryota; Viridiplantae; Streptophyta; Magnoliopsida; Poales; Poaceae
Description: long non-coding RNA (ZMAY_LNC005337)
Source: RNAcentral